Molecule: ribosomal RNA, 525 nt
Filed under: uncultured bacterium
Lineage: Bacteria
Description: partial 16S ribosomal RNA
Rfam family: Bacterial small subunit ribosomal RNA
Source: RNAcentral
UGGGGAAUUUUGGACAAUGGGCGAAAGCCUGAUCCAGCAAUGCCGCGUGUGUGAAGAAGGCCUUCGGGUUGUAAAGCACUUUUGUCCGGAAAGAAAUCCUUGGCUCUAAUACAGUCGGGGGAUGACGGUACCGGAAGAAUAAGCACCGGCUAACUACGUGCCAGCAGCCGCGGUAAUACGUAGGGUGCAAGCGUUAAUCGGAAUUACUGGGCGUAAAGCGUGCGCAGGCGGUUUGCUAAGACCGAUGUGAAUCCCGGGCUCAACCUGGGAACUGCAUUGGUGACUGGCAGGCUAGAGUAUGGCAGAGGGGGGUAGAAUUCCACGUGUAGCAGUGAAAUGCGUAGAGAUGUGGAGGAAUACCGAUGGCGAAGGCAGCCCCCUGGGCCAAUACUGACGCUCAUGCACGAAAGCGUGGGGGAGCAAACAGGAUUCAGAUACCCUGGUAGUCCACGCCCUAAACGAUGUCAACUAGUUGUUGGGGAUUCAUUUCCUUAGUAACGUAGCUAACGCGUGAAGUUGACCGCC